This is a long non-coding RNA of Cyprinus carpio carpio, 1879 nucleotides long. NCBI's taxonomy places the organism in Eukaryota, Metazoa, Chordata, Actinopteri, Cypriniformes, Cyprinidae. The record is from Ensembl.
UUACAUUAUUGUUUGCCAAACACGACUGGAAAUCAUAAGGCAAAUCAAGGUUAUAAAGUGACUGAGAGCUACUGCAGCUCAUUCUUAAAGGGCUCGUAGGAAGGACACGCUGCGUCUGUGGUGAACAGCCCUCUGGUAGAGCGUUUCUAUGCAAGGAAGCUUGAGGACGCAUCUGAAGUGCUUUGAUAAAGUGCUUUGAGAGAAAAUGAACUCCCUCAUGGAUUUAAUGACAUCAAAGACUUUUGUGUGACAUUGAAAAGACUAAGAAGGCCAAGGGAGGAAGGGGAUAAGAAAAACCCACUUGUCCUCUCUCAAUCUAGCCCACAGAAGAGAAAGAGAAGAGCCGUUUGAGGAUAGUGUGCUGCCUGGUCGUCAGAGCGCUACACGGUUCUGAAACACUGGACACAGCUUUUAUAAGCAUAUAUGAGGGACAAUGAAAGCCUGAAGUAGUAGUGAGCCUGCACAGUGGCUAUUAUUUAUUAAGAAAAAGGAAAAAUAUCAAAUCCCUUGAUGAAUUAUUUAUAUGUAGUCAUGUUAAGUGUGUGGACACACUUGUCUUUUUAAAGUCAAAAAACUGUGACAUAUUUACAACAUUGUUAUUUUAUGAGUCUUUUAGUAAUUUUUUCCCCCCAGUAUAAUUUUUUCAGAUGCUUCAUUAGAUUCUUCUUUGUUUCAUAGCAACAGACAUAGAGUUUGCAAGCACAAUGUGUCUGACAUCAGUACCUUGUCACAACCAUUAUUACCUCAUAAGGCAGUGUGUAAUUUUACCUCAGUUCGAGCCAAAUUAAAUAAAAGCUUUCAUAGUGGUAUCCCUACUCUUAUUCAGAUAGCUCACCGACUCUGACUCAUAGGUAACAGACAUAUGACAUGGAAACACAAGUCAGGGGGCUGAAUUAUGGGAGGUUAAAAAAAAGAAAAGAAAAAAGACACUAAUGUAAAAGUCAGGCCAGUCUGCUAUUACCUCAAGCUUUUAUGGCAACACAUUGGCUUAUGUUUUGGGUGAGAGCUGAAAAUUUAUUAGUGGCUUUUCCCAUCAAGACAGAUGAGUGUGAAUUCAUGCCUCUAGAUAUUGACAGAUAAUUGUUCCAUUAGUUUUGAGAUUGAGAGGCCUGUCUUUUACUUCAGCUUGUAUAAUCGAUUUCUAGUUAUUGUUAAAAAAGAAAAGGUUGGAGUCUAUCUGUGGUUUGCAUGAAAUGUCUUCAUUUCAGUAUUGUGAUUUAAUGAAUAAUGUCGAUGAGAAAUGGAAGAAGUCCGGAAAACAGUGGGUGUGCACAUUCAUUUAGCCUUUGUGAGCCUAAGAGACUUACAGACCCCAAACCUUUGAACAAUAGUAUAUACGCAAAAUUCAUUAACUCUAUGGAAUUAACUGGAUUUCUGCUUUUCUUUUUUCUGAUUUUCCUAUAAAAGCUUUAUCUUCAUCUGAUUAAAAUAAUUUAACCCAUAUAAAUUUAAUGAACCACAGACAUGAAAACCCACAAUGUUACAGUGCCAUCUUUGUUAAACAAAUAUAGUUUCAAUAAAUCAACUUUCUGUAUCAGUGAUUGGAAAGUUCCUAUAAAUGCUAAUCAGUUCUGCUGAGAAGUUGUGGGGCAUUUACAUCAAUCCAGAACUGUUUGGGUUUACAUUUACAGUAGUUUUGGUGUUAAGGGUUGGCUAACUCAGGCAUCAACAAAAGCAAAACACUAGCUGUUAUUAUUUCUGUGACGUAUUUGAGGAUUUUAUGGCAUACCCGCUCAUUGUCCUCCUGAUGAGAUAAACCACAGCAGACUGAUGAAGGCCAACAUGUCUUCUCAACCCUUUUGAAAUAUUUUUCAUAGGUCUUUUCAUAUUCCUUUUGAACAGCAGGGAAUUAAUAUUGUGCAGUUAUGUUUAUGGUGGG